RNAcentral lists this ribosomal RNA (321 nucleotides) under uncultured eukaryote. RNAcentral's name for it is "partial 18S ribosomal RNA". It matches the Rfam family "Eukaryotic small subunit ribosomal RNA", at positions 1470 to 1796 of the family's 1831-position model. The record is from RNAcentral.
CCCUUAGAUGUCCUGGGCCGCACGCGCGCUACACUGACAUGUUCAACAAGCCUCCUAGUUCGACAGGAUUUGGGAAAUCUUUGAACGCAUGUCGUGAUAGGGAUAGAUCAUUGCAAUUAUUGAUCUUGAACGAGGAAUUCCUAGUAAACGCGAGUCAUCAGCUCGCAUUGAUUACGUCCCUGCCCUUUGUACACACCGCCCGUCGCACCUACCGAUUGAAUGUUUCGGUGAAGAUUCCGGAUAGGACUUUUUUGAUUUAUUUCAAUUUUGUCUGAAAAGCUAUCUAAACCUCAACAUUUAGAGGAAGGUGAAGUCGUAACA